RNAcentral lists this ribosomal RNA (328 nucleotides) under uncultured bacterium. RNAcentral's name for it is "bacterial SSU rRNA". It matches the Rfam family "Bacterial small subunit ribosomal RNA", at positions 28 to 351 of the family's 1533-position model. The record is from RNAcentral.
GACGAACGCUGGCGGCGUGCCUAACACAUGCAAGUCGAACGAGGUCCAUGAGAGCUUGCUCUCGGAAGACCUAGUGGCGAACGGGUGAGUAACACGUGAACAACCUGCCCUGGAAUCUGGGAUAACCCGAGGAAACUCGAGCUAAUACCGGAUACCUUCCUCUGAUCGCAUGGUCGGAGGAAGAAAGAAUUUCGUUCCAGGAGGGGUUCGCGGCCUAUCAGCUUGUUGGCGGGGUAACGGCCCACCAAGGCAGCGACGGGUAGCUGGAUUGAGAGAUCGAUCAGCCACACUGGGACUGAGACACGGCCCAGACUCCUACGGGAGGCAG